This 497-nucleotide ribosomal RNA is filed under the name uncultured bacterium. RNAcentral describes it as "partial 16S ribosomal RNA". It matches the Rfam family "Bacterial small subunit ribosomal RNA", at positions 28 to 507 of the family's 1533-position model. The record is from RNAcentral.
GAUGAACGCUGGCGGCGUGCCUAAUACAUGCAAGUCGAGCGAACAGAUGAGGAGCUUGCUCCUCUGACGUUAGCGGCGGACGGGUGAGUAACACGUGGAUAACCUACCUAUAAGACUGGGAUAACUUCGGGAAACCGGAGCUAAUACCGGAUAAUAUAUUGAACCGCAUGGUUCAAUAGUGAAAGACGGUUUUGCUGUCACUUAUAGAUGGAUCCGCGCCGCAUUAGCUAGUUGGUAAGGUAACGGCUUACCAAGGCAAAGAUGCGUAGCCGACCUGAGAGGGUGAUCGGCCACACUGGAACUGAGACACGGUCCAGACUCCUACGGGAGGCAGCAGUAGGGAAUCUUCCGCAAUGGGCGAAAGCCUGACGGAGCAACGCCGCGUGAGUGAUGAAGGUCUUCGGAUCGUAAAACUCUGUUAUUAGGGAAGAACAAAUGUGUAAGUAACUAUGCACGUCUUGACGGUACCUAAUCAGAAAGCCACGGCUAACUACGUG